GACAGAGGGUGCAAACGUUGUUCGGAUUUACUGGGCGUAAAGCGCGUGUAGGCGGCCUUGCAAGUCGGAUGUGAAAGCCCACGGCUCAACCGUGGAAGUACAUCCGAAACUGCAUAGCUUGAGUCUCGGAGAGGAAGGUGGAAUGCUUGGUGUAGAGGUGAAAUUCGUAGAUAUCAAGCAGAACACCUGCGGCGAAGGCGGCCUUCUGGACGAUGACUGACGCUGAGACGCGAAAGCGUGGGGAGCAAACAGG
RNAcentral lists this ribosomal RNA (253 nucleotides) under uncultured bacterium. Its description in RNAcentral is "partial 16S ribosomal RNA". It matches the Rfam family "Bacterial small subunit ribosomal RNA", at positions 524 to 776 of the family's 1533-position model. The record is from RNAcentral.